AGUGAACGCUGGCGGUAGGCCUAACACAUGCCAGUCGAACGGCAGCACAGUAAGAGCUUGCUCUUACGGGUGGCGAGUGGCGGACGGGUGAGGAAUACAUCGGAAUCUACUUUUUCGUGGGGGAUAACGUAGGGAAACUUACGCUAAUACCGCAUACGACCUACGGGGGAAAGCAGGGGAUCUUCGGACCUUGCGCGAUUGAAUGAGCCGAUGUCGGAUUAGCUAGUUGGCGGGUUAAAGGCCCACCAAGGCGACGAUCCGUAGCUGGUCUGAGAGGAUGGUCAGCGACACUGGAACUGAGCCACGGUCCAGACUCCUACGGGAGGCAGCAGUGGGGAAUAUUGGACAAUGGGCGCAAGCCUGAUCCAGCCAUACCGCGUGGGUGAAGACGGCCUUCGGGUUGUAAAGCCCUUUUGUUGGGAAAGAAAAGCAGCAGGUUAAUACCCCGCUGUUCUGACGGUACCCAAAGAAUAAGCACCGGCUAACUUCGUG
This 492-nucleotide ribosomal RNA is filed under the name uncultured bacterium. RNAcentral describes it as "partial 16S ribosomal RNA". It matches the Rfam family "Bacterial small subunit ribosomal RNA", at positions 29 to 507 of the family's 1533-position model. The record is from RNAcentral.